Camellia sinensis is the source of this 922-nucleotide non-coding RNA. NCBI's taxonomy places the organism in Eukaryota, Viridiplantae, Streptophyta, Magnoliopsida, Ericales, Theaceae. The record is from RefSeq and is a predicted model, not a curated record.
UCUCUCCCACUACAUUUCCCUCUUCGCUACUCCCCUCCCCAUCCCUCUCUCAUUGCCGCUCCGCCAGCCGCGCCUCAGCCGCUCUCCCUCGCGGUCGUGGACAACCAAAGCACUGAUUCACCUCGAUUUGCCCUAUUUUCUCUCUCUAUAUUCAUAUAUCUGUCUAUCCAUCAACGGCGAGACGGAUGACGUGCCAGAGAGAGAGAAUGAGUGAAAAGAGAUUUGGGUUAUUUACAUAAUUCCAAUCAGGUCCUUCCUUCUUUCUUUCUAUCCGAUCCGUAAUAAGUCCCCUGUAUCAUUACUUUAUUUCUUCUUUUUCUUUGUUUUUCUUUCACUUUCUUUUUCCGUUUCACAGUCGAGAAAAUAAAUAGUGGCAAUUUUCUCAUUUCCUUUCAUCAGUUACAUAACUGCCGGAAACAUAUCCAUAACAACCUUUAGGUCAUUUCUACAUUUGACAAACUUUUCUGGGGAUUUAGGGGCUUAUUUUGCCCAUUUCAGAGGCGGAUUUGGGUGUGGUGAGGAUUAAGAAGGGUUUUGGAUCGAUUUGGGUUUGUAAUUGGUGGUUUUCCUCGGGUUGAAUAACUGAGAUAUGUUAAAAGAUCAAUCCUAUCUGAUUUCAAGGGCUUUUCUGAUUUCAAUCGCAGCAUGUGGUGGCCAAGUAUUCAGUUCUUGGAAAUGGUAAUCAGCCUUUGGAUGAUAAGGACCUUGAUCAAUUCAUUGCGAGGCUCUUCACUUGGUUCAUACUUGUAUGUAUGUCUAUAUAAUUUCUCUUUAUGUUUAUGGUUAUAUGUAGAUUUUGUUCAAAUUUGAUUGUUUUGUUAUUGCAAUAUGAUGUGAUUUGUCAAAUUAGAACAAUAGUUUGAUGUUUGGUUUAUCAACCCUGUGCUGUGCACAACUUCUUCUAAUUAUCUGUUGCUUCAAA